UACGUAGGGGGCUAGCGUUGUCCGGAAUCAUUGGGCGUAAAGCGCGUGUAGGCGGCCCGGUAAGUCCGCUGUGAAAGUCGGGGGCUCAACCCUCGGAUGCCGGUGGAUACUGUCGGGCCGGAGUGCGGAAGAGGCGAGUGGAAUUCCUGGUGUAGCGGUGAAAUGCGCAGAUAUCAGGAGGAACACCAAUUGCGAAGGCAGCUCGCUGGGACGUUACUGACGCUGAGACGCGAAAGCGUGGGGAGCAAACAGG
This 253-nucleotide ribosomal RNA is filed under the name uncultured bacterium. RNAcentral's name for it is "partial 16S ribosomal RNA". It matches the Rfam family "Bacterial small subunit ribosomal RNA", at positions 524 to 776 of the family's 1533-position model. The record is from RNAcentral.